AUACAGCGAAACUGCGAAUGGCUCAUUAUAUAAGUUAUCGUUUAUUUGAUAGUACCUUACUACUUGGAUAACCGUGGUAAUUCUAGAGCUAAUACAUGCUAAAAAUCCCGACUUCGGAAGGGAUGUAUUUAUUAGAUUAAAAACCAAUGCCCUCUGGGCUCCUUGGUGAUUCAUGAUAACUCUUCGAAUCGCACGGCCUUGCGCCGGCGAUGGUUCAUUCAAAUUUCUUCCCUAUCAACUUUCGAUGUUUGGGUCUUGGCCAAACAUGGUCGCAACGGGUAACGGAGGGUUAGGGCUCGACCCCGGAGAAGGAGCCUGAGAAACGGCUACUACAUCCAAGGAAGGCAGCAGGCGCGCAAAUUACCCAAUCCCGAUUCGGGGAGGUAGUGACAAUAAAUACUGAUACAGGGCUCUUUUGGGUCUUGUAAUUGGAAUGAGUACAAUUUAAAUCCCUUAACGAGGAACAAUUGGAGGGCAAGUCUGGUGCCAGCAGCCGCGGUAAUUCCAGCUCCAAUAGCGUAUAUUAAAGUUGUUGUGGUUAAAAAGCUCGUAGUUGAACCUUGGGCCUGGCUGGCCGGUCCGCCUCACCGCGUGUACUGGUCCGGCCGGGCCUUUCCCUCUGUGGAACCCCAUGCCCUUCACUGGGUGUGGCGGGGAAACAGGACUUUUACUUUGAAAAAAUUAGAGUGCUCCAGGCAGGCCUAUGCUCGAAUACAUUAGCAUGGAAUAAUG
Molecule: ribosomal RNA, 732 nt
Filed under: Cordyceps pruinosa
Lineage: Eukaryota; Fungi; Ascomycota; Sordariomycetes; Hypocreales; Cordycipitaceae
Description: SSU rRNA
Rfam family: Eukaryotic small subunit ribosomal RNA
Source: RNAcentral